CCUGGUAGCUCAGAGGGUAAAGCAUCUGCCUGCAAUGCGGGAGACCUGGGUUCAAUCCCUGGGUCAGGA
Molecule: transfer RNA, 69 nt
Filed under: Bos taurus (domestic cattle)
Lineage: Eukaryota; Metazoa; Chordata; Mammalia; Artiodactyla; Bovidae
Also listed under: 3 other names
Rfam family: tRNA
About the family: Transfer RNA (tRNA) molecules are approximately 80 nucleotides in length. Their secondary structure includes four short double-helical elements and three loops (D, anti-codon, and T loops).
Source: Rfam by way of RNAcentral